CUAGAGUUUGAUCCUGGCUCAGGAUGAACGCUGGCGGCGUGCUUAACACAUGCAAGUCGAACGAUGAAGCCCAGCUUGCUGGGUGGAUUAGUGGCGAACGGGUGAGUAACACGUGAGCAACCUGCCCCUGACUCUGGGAUAAGCGCUGGAAACGGCGUCUAAUACUGGAUAUGUCCCGUCACCGCAUGGUGUGCGGGUGGAAAGAUUUUUCGGUUGGGGAUGGGCUCGCGGCCUAUCAGCUUGUUGGUGAGGUAAUGGCUCACCAAGGCGUCGACGGGUAGCCGGCCUGAGAGGGUGACCGGCCACACUGGGACUGAGACACGGCCCAGACUCCUACGGGAGGCAGCAGUGGGGAAUAUUGCACAAUGGGCGGAAGCCUGAUGCAGCAACGCCGCGUGAGGGAUGACGGCCUUCGGGUUGUAAACCUCUUUUAGCAGGGAAGAAGCGAGAGUGACGGUACCUGCAGAAAAAGCACCGGCUAACUACGUGCCAGCAGCCGCGGUAAUACGUAGGGUGCAAGCGUGUAUCCGGAAUUAUUGGGCGUAAAGAGCUCGUAGGCGGUCUGUCGCGUCUGCUGUGAAAUCCCGAGGCUCAACCUCGGGCUUGCAGUGGGUACGGGCAGACUAGAGUGCGGUAGGGGAGAUUGGAAUUCCUGGUGUAGCGGUGGAAUGCGCAGAUAUCAGGAGGAACACCGAUGGCGAAGGCAGAUCUCUGGGCCGUAACUGACGCUGAGGAGCGAAAGGGUGGGGAGCAAACAGGCUUAGAUACCCUGGUAGUCCACCCCGUAAACGUUGGGAACUAGUUGUCUGGGUCCUUUCCACGGAUUCCGUGACGCAGCUAACGCAUUAAGU
RNAcentral lists this ribosomal RNA (851 nucleotides) under Microbacterium esteraromaticum. RNAcentral describes it as "bacterial SSU rRNA". It matches the Rfam family "Bacterial small subunit ribosomal RNA", at positions 1 to 865 of the family's 1533-position model. The record is from RNAcentral. Lineage: Bacteria; Bacillati; Actinomycetota; Actinomycetes; Micrococcales; Microbacteriaceae.